RNAcentral lists this ribosomal RNA (440 nucleotides) under uncultured bacterium. RNAcentral describes it as "partial 16S ribosomal RNA". It matches the Rfam family "Bacterial small subunit ribosomal RNA", at positions 338 to 795 of the family's 1533-position model. The record is from RNAcentral.
CCUACGGGGUGCUGCAGUGGGGAAUAUUGCACAAUGGGGGAAACCCUGAUGCAGCGACGCCGCGUGAGUGAAGAAGUAAUUCGUUAUGUAAAGCUCUAUCAGCAGGGAAGAAAAUGACGGUACCUGAGUAAGAAGCCCCGGCUAACUACGUGCCAGCAGCCGCGGUAAUACGUAGGGGGGAAGCGUUAUCCGGAUUUACUGGGUGGAAAGGGAGCGUAGACGGAAGUGCAAGUCUGGAGUGAAAGGCGGGGGCUCAACCCCCGGACUGCUCUGGAAACUGUACGGCUGGAGUGCAGGAGAGGUAAGUGGAAUUCCUAGGGUAGCGGUGAAAUGCGUAGAUAUUAGGAGGAACACCAGUGGCGAAGGCGGCUUACUGGACUGUAACUGACGUUGAGGCUCGAAAGCGUGGGGAGCAAACAGGAUUAGAUACCCUUGUAGUC